This 620-nucleotide ribosomal RNA is filed under the name fungal endophyte. RNAcentral's name for it is "eukaryotic LSU rRNA". The stretch from base 182 to 335 matches the Rfam family "5.8S ribosomal RNA". Lineage: Eukaryota; Fungi. The record is from RNAcentral.
CAUUAAAGAGUUCUAUAACUCCCAAACCCAUGUGAACAUACCUAACGUUGCCUCGGCAGGUCGCACCUACCUUGUAGCACCCUACCCUGUAGGGCCUACCCGGGAGGUGCGGGUAAGCCUGCCGGCGGCCCACCAAACUCUGUUUGAUAUUGAAUUCUGAACCUAUAACUAAAUAAGUUAAAACUUUCAACAACGGAUCUCUUGGUUCUGGCAUCGAUGAAGAACGCAGCGAAAUGCGAUAAGUAAUGUGAAUUGCAGAAUUCAGUGAAUCAUCGAAUCUUUGAACGCAUAUUGCGCCCAUUAGUAUUCUAGUGGGCAGGACCGUUCGAGCGUCAUUUCAACCCUUAAGCCUUCGUUGCUUAGUGUUGGGAGCCUACGGCAACGUAGCUCCUCAAAGUUAGUGGCGGAGUUGGUUCACACUCUAGACGUAGUAAUUUUUUAUCUCGCCUAUUAGUUGGACUAAUCCCCUGCCGUAAAACCCCCAAUUUAUCAAGGUUGACCUCGAAUCGGUUCAGACAAACUCGCUAAAUUGAAGCAUCUUAGUCAGCGAAGGAAAAGAAACCAACAGGGAUUGCCCUAGUAACGGCGAGUGAAGCGGCAACAGCUCAAAUUUGAAAUCU